CAGCCGCCGCGGGAAUACGUAGGUGGCAAGCGUUGUCCGGAAUUAUUGGGCGUAAAGGGCUCGCAGGCGGUUUCUUAAGUCUGAUGUGAAAGCCCCCGGCUCAACCGGGGAGGGUCAUUGGAAACUGGGAAACUUGAGUGCAGAAGAGGAGAGUGGAAUUCCACGUGUAGCGAUGAAAUGCGUAGAGAUGUGGAGGAACACCAGUGGCGAAGGCGACUCUCUGGUCUGUAACUGACGCUGAGGAGCGAAAGCGUGGGGAGCGAACAGGAUUAGAGACCCCUGUAGUCCCUGUCUCUUAUAC
Molecule: ribosomal RNA, 301 nt
Filed under: uncultured bacterium
Lineage: Bacteria
Description: partial 16S ribosomal RNA
Rfam family: Bacterial small subunit ribosomal RNA
Source: RNAcentral